This 240-nucleotide long non-coding RNA is filed under the name Elaeis guineensis (African oil palm). RNAcentral's name for it is "long non-coding RNA (EGUI_LNC079589)". The record is from RNAcentral. Lineage: Eukaryota; Viridiplantae; Streptophyta; Magnoliopsida; Arecales; Arecaceae.
CAUCCAAGUUUCUACGAUGGUCGACCACCUUUCGGAUUCCAUCCAAGCUCCUACGAGAAUCGGAUUUCAGUCGAACUCCUACAGUGGAUGGAUCCCAGAUGAGCUUCUACAACAGGACAGGCUCCACCAGCCAGGUCACUACUCUGAGCUUCUAUAAUAAAUAAUCUUCAUCCGAGCUUUCACGACAACCGAUCUUCGAUCGAGCUUCUACAAUUAGCGCUCUCCUUUCAGCCUCCUACA